Parasteatoda tepidariorum (common house spider) is the source of this 1300-nucleotide long non-coding RNA. The record is from RefSeq and is a predicted model, not a curated record. Lineage: Eukaryota; Metazoa; Arthropoda; Arachnida; Araneae; Theridiidae.
AUGUGACAUUCACCGGUGAAAGUCGACAUUCUCUUGAUUUCGGACCUUCACGGUAACAUAUAUGAAAAAUAUCUCUGAUCCUUGAAAAAGAAGUGGUAGUAUAUGUUUGUUAGCUUAUAGUAGAUACUAUUUAUUUCUGUGACAUAUCACUUUAAAGAAAGCAAUAUCUUUUUUUUCCACAUACAUUCGCAAGGCGGCUUAUAAGCCCUUGUCAUGUUGAAGAACAGAUCGCACAAAUUACAGAAGUGCAUAGCAGACAUGCACCCAGAGUUACGGUGAGAUUUGAACCCACUAAUUCUAUACUACAAAGCAUUUUUGACUGAUAAGCGAUACCCUUCGGGCAGAAGGGUCCUAGCAAUUUUCGUUUAUUUACUUUUUGUUACACAUACAUGCGCGGUCUUGUCUUCACGUUACAAUUCAUGACUCAGAAGCUCUUAAGUUGAAGAAUAGACACACUUUAGAGAAGUAUAUUCAACAAUGCAACCGGCGUUAUGUUGGGAUUCGAACUCGCUACAGAGCAUUUGACGAAUUAGCAAGACCUUUUGACUAUCUUAUUUCUUCAAAAUUAAUCCUAAUAAUUAAACUCUUGUGCUACCACUAAUUUUAUAUACAUAUAUAAAAAACGAGCCUUCAAUAGGAUGCUGGACUCAAAUCUGUUAAAGUGUAAAUAAAAACAUAUCUAAUAUAUGGUCAUACUUUUAGUUUUGUAGUUAGUUUUUAUUUCUUCCCCAUAAUUGUUUCCACCCUGUCAUUAAACACCCACCACCAGCAAAUGAGGUUGAAUGUAAAUGAAAACAUAGUGCUGAUGAAUCAAAACAUAUAGUUCUUAGUUUUGAGUUUUUUUCUUCUUUAGCUUUAGUGUUAGCUUGUGUUAGAAUACAGUCAUUAAAUAAUAGCUUUAGUUAACAAUAAUACUAUAACAUUGCUAUGCUCAUGCUUGCCCAACUAACAUAGCUUCUGUUUUACUAACCCUUACCUAGGUCCUGCUACAACACAAAAAUCAGGUGGACGCAGACCAGAUUCAUACUACUUUUAUCCCAUUCAAGCAACCACAGACUCUUCUAGAAGUGGUGUAGAAGCUGUACCUAUCCAAUAAAAGAAUUGGUUAAUGAACAUUUUGGAAUGCGAAGGAAAAUUUCUUUCGAAAUGUGAUUGUAUAUUGUAUUGCAUUUAAUAAGAAUUAAAUGUUUUAUUUUGUGAUGAUUGAACUAUGUAUUAUUUUAUGCUAAUACAUAUUUUUAUGAUGAAUUAUAAAUGUAUUAUUUUUUAUGUUAAUAAACAGAACUUUUAAUCGUAUAAA